UUGACCUCGGAUCAGGUAGGGAUACCCGCUGAACUUAAGCAUAUCAAUAAGCGGAGGAAAAGAAACCAACAGGGAUUGCCUCAGUAACGGCGAGUGAAGCGGCAAGAGCUCAAAUUUGAAAGCUGGCCCCCUCGGGGUCCGCAUUGUAAUUUGCAGAGGAUGCUUCGGGAGUGGCCCCCAUCUAAGUGCCCUGGAACGGGCCGUCAUAGAGGGUGAGAAUCCCGUCUGGGAUGGGGUGCCCACGCCCGUGUGAAGCUCCUUCGACGAGUCGAGUUGUUUGGGAAUGCAGCUCUAAAUGGGUGGUAAAUUUCAUCUAAAGCUAAAUACUGGCCGGAGACCGAUAGCGCACAAGUAGAGUGAUCGAAAGAUGAAAAGCACUUUGAAAAGAGAGUUAAACAGCACGUGAAAUUGUUGAAAGGGAAGCGCUUGCGACCAGACUCGCCCACGGGGUUCAGCCGGCAUUCGUGCCGGUGUACUUCCCCGCGGGCGGGCCAGCGUCGGUUUGGGCGGCCGGUCAAAGGCCCUUGGAAUGUACCGCCCCCCGGGGCGGCUUAUAGCCAAGGGUGCCAUGCGGCCAGCCCGGACCGAGGAACGCGCUUCGGCUCGGACGC
This 611-nucleotide ribosomal RNA is filed under the name Penicillium ochrochloron. Its description in RNAcentral is "eukaryotic LSU rRNA". It matches the Rfam family "Eukaryotic large subunit ribosomal RNA", at positions 1 to 626 of the family's 3401-position model. The record is from RNAcentral. Lineage: Eukaryota; Fungi; Ascomycota; Eurotiomycetes; Eurotiales; Aspergillaceae.